AAAGCAGGGAUAGUGUGUAUCGGUGUUUUGCUAUUAAAAAUGCAUUCUUUCCGAAAGUAUUCCCUUGCAAUAUUAAUUUAGAGAAAAUGGGCAGUUGUGUUUCAUAGUUUUGGUUGAAAAAUCACAACAAUCAUUUUCCCUACAUAU
Molecule: small nucleolar RNA, 147 nt
Organism: Medicago truncatula (barrel medic)
Lineage: Eukaryota; Viridiplantae; Streptophyta; Magnoliopsida; Fabales; Fabaceae
Rfam family: small nucleolar RNA snoR135
Source: Rfam